UGACAAGUCGAACGAUGAUGCCCAGCUUGCUGGGCGGAUUAGUGGCGAACGGGUGAGUAAUACGUGAGUAACCUGCCCUUGACUCUGGGAUAAGCCUGGGAAACUGGGUCUAAUACUGGAUACUACCUCGCACCGCAUGGUGGGUGGUGGAAAGGGUUUUACUGGUUUUGGAUGGGCUCACGGCCUAUCAGCUUGUUGGUGGGGUAAUGGCUCACCAAGGCGACGACGGGUAGCCGGCCUGAGAGGGUGACCGGCCACACUGGGACUGAGACACGGCCCAGACUCCUACGGGAGGCAGCAGUGGGGAAUAUUGCACAAUGGGCGGAAGCCUGAUGCAGCGACGCCGCGUGAGGGAUGACGGCCUUCGGGUUGUAAACCUCUUUCAGUAGGGAAGAAGCGAGAGUGACGGUACCUGCAGAAGAAGCGCCGGCUAACUACGUGCCAGCAGCCGCGGUAAUACGUAGGGCGCAAGCGUUGUCCGGAAUUAUUGGGCGUAAAGAGCUCGUAGGCGGUUUGUCGCGUCUGCUGUGAAAGCCCGGGGCUCAACCCCGGGUCUGCAGUGGGUACGGGCAGACUAGAGUGCAGUAGGGGAGACUGGAAUUCCUGGUGUAGCGGUGAAAUGCGCAGAUAUCAGGAGGAACACCGAUGGCGAAGGCAGGUCUCUGGGCUGUUACUGACGCUGAGGAGCGAAAGCAUGGGGAGCGAACAGGAUUAGAUACCCUGGUAGUCCAUGCCGUAAACGUUGGGCACUAGGUGUGGGGGACAUUCCACGUUUUCCGCGCCGUAGCUAACGCAUUAA
This 799-nucleotide ribosomal RNA is filed under the name Kocuria sp. DNG32. RNAcentral's name for it is "bacterial SSU rRNA". It matches the Rfam family "Bacterial small subunit ribosomal RNA", at positions 56 to 863 of the family's 1533-position model. Lineage: Bacteria; Bacillati; Actinomycetota; Actinomycetes; Micrococcales; Micrococcaceae. The record is from RNAcentral.